GAAGAAAGGGGGAGGUGUGAUUAAUACAUGCAAGUCAACUGAAGCAGUGGUAGCAAUAUCGCUGUGGAGGUGGCGCACGGGUGAGUAACACGUAGGUAAUCUGCCUUCAGGUCUGGCAUAACUCCGGGAAACCGGGGCUAAUAGCAGAUGAUGCAGCGGCUCGACAUCGAGACAGUUGUUAAAGCUAUGGCGCCUGAAGAUGAGCCUGCGUCUGAUUAGCUAGUUGGCGGGGUAACGGCCCACCAAGGCAACGAUCAGUAGCUGGUCUGAGAGGAUGAUCAGCCACACUGGAACUGAGACACGGUCCAGACUCCUACGGGAGGCAGCAGUAAGGAAUAUUGCUCAAUGGGAGAAAUCCUGAAGCAGCAACGCCGCGUGAGGGACGAAGGGCUUUUGCUUGUAAACCUCUGUAGUGAGAGAAAAAAAUCCCAAUCCUUGGGACAUGAUGGUAGCUCAAAAGUAAGCCCCGGCUAACUACGUG
RNAcentral lists this ribosomal RNA (481 nucleotides) under uncultured bacterium. Its description in RNAcentral is "partial 16S ribosomal RNA". It matches the Rfam family "Bacterial small subunit ribosomal RNA", at positions 28 to 507 of the family's 1533-position model. The record is from RNAcentral.